RNAcentral lists this unclassified non-coding RNA (344 nucleotides) under soil metagenome. RNAcentral describes it as "partial contains 5.8S ribosomal RNA, internal transcribed spacer 2, and large subunit ribosomal RNA". The stretch from base 1 to 119 matches the Rfam family "5.8S ribosomal RNA", at positions 35 to 154 of the family's 154-position model. The record is from RNAcentral.
GAUGAAGAACGCAGCGAAAUGCGAUACGUAAUGUGAAUUGCAAAUUCAGUGAAUCAUCGAGUCUUUGAACGCACAUUGCGCCCCCUGGUAUUCCGGGGGGCAUGCCUGUCCGAGCGUCAUUGCUGCCCUCAAGCACGGCUUGUGUGUUGGGCCCCGUCCUCCGAUCCCGGGGGACGGGCCCGAAAGGCAGCGGCGGCACCGCGUCCGGUCCUCGAGCGUAUGGGGCUUUGUCACCCGCUCUGUAGGCCGGCCGGCGCUUGCCGAUCAACCCAAAUUUUUAUCCAGGUUGACCUCGGAUCAGGUAGGGAUACCCGCUGAACUUAAGCAUAUCAAUAAGCGGAGGA